Molecule: ribosomal RNA, 1130 nt
Filed under: Mycosarcoma maydis (corn smut)
Lineage: Eukaryota; Fungi; Basidiomycota; Ustilaginomycetes; Ustilaginales
Description: SSU rRNA
Rfam family: Bacterial small subunit ribosomal RNA
Source: RNAcentral
CCUUACUAAUAGUCCAAUCUAAGUCUCGUGCCAGCAGACGCGGUUAUACGAACUGGGCAAACGUUUAAUAAAUUAAUAGGUAUUAAGGAUCCGUAGGCGGUUUAUAAUAAAGAAACUAGAAUCUAAUAGAGGAUAGUGGAAUGCUAGGAGGAGGGAUGAUAUCCGUUGAUAUCUAGCGGAACAUUAAAGGCGAAAGCAGCUAUCCAGCUAAAGAUUGACGCUGAGGGAUGAAAGUCUGGGGAGCAAAACAGAUUAGAUACCUGUGUAGUCCAGACCGUAAACUAUUUACAUUUCUUAUUUGGCUUAACUAUUUUAUAGUGUAUUUAGUCAGAUAAGCAGCAAACCGCUGUAUGUGUAACACCUUGUAAGUACAGUCCCAGGACCGAAAGCAAAAAGAUUAGACCAUCCUAAAGACCCGGAGUGGAGCAUGUUGUUUAAUACGAUAAUCCGCGUAGAACCUUACCUCUCCUUGAAUGGCUUACAUAACUUUGUUUGUAAGAUCACAGGCGUUGCAUGGCUGUCGGCAGUUCGUGUCGUAAGAUGUCAGGUUGAGUCCGCCAACGAACGCAAUCCCUAUAAAAAGUAUUUAUCAGUUAUUAUACUGCUCUUUUUAUUUGCAUUCAAUAAGAAGCAUUUUGGGAAUACGACAAGCCUUCAUGACCCUUAUGGAGUAUGGGCUACAGACGUGCUACUUGAACCUAACAAACUGAUGCAAUAUCGUAAGAUGGAGCUAACCAGUAAAAUAUGGUGAUACUAGGAUCGUAGUCUGAAAUUCGACUACGUGAAUCAGGAAUUCCGAGUAAUCGUUGAUAAGUACGCAACGGUGAACCUUUACAUUUGGGAGAUACUAACCGUCUAUCAAGUGUUGGUCGUUUAUCAAGCUAUGAACUAGUGUUUAUUUUUAUUCUUUCCUCUUCUAUAUUAUUACUAUCUAGUUACUACUCCGUAGUUGUAUAUAAGUAACAUUAUUUAUAUAUAUAUAUUUUUAUUUAUUUGUACUAAUAUAGAUUAUUUAGUUUAAAUAAUAUUUUAGUUUAAAGUUUCUAUAACGAACACAUGGAAUAGCUUAGAACUCCUAACGCUAAGUUAUAGCAAGGUAGCCGUAAGGGAACUUGUGGCUGAUGGAUACU